AAACCACCAGGAUUCCUCAGUAACGGCGAGUGAAGCGGCAAAAGCUCAAAUUUGAAAUCUGGCACCUUCGGUGUCCGAGUUGUAAUUUGAAGAAGGUAACUUUGGAGUUGGCUCUUGUCUAUGUUCCUUGGAACAGGACGUCACAGAGGGUGAGAAUCCCGUGCGAUGAGAUGUCCAACUCUAUGUAAAGUGCUUUCGAAGAGUCGAGUUGUUUGGGAAUGCAGCUCUAAGUGGGUGGUAAAUUCCAUCUAAAGCUAAAUAUUGGCGAGAGACCGAUAGCGAACAAGUACAGUGAUGGAAAGAUGAAAAGAACUUUGAAAAGAGAGUGAAAAAGUACGUGAAAUUGUUGAAAGGGAAGGGCUUGAGAUCAGACUUGGUAUUUUGCAAGCCUUACCUUCGUGGUGGGGUCCCCUGCAGUUUACUGGGCCAGCAUCGGUUUGGAUGGUAGGAUAAUGACUUGGGAAUGUGGCUUUGCUUCGGUAAAGUGUUAUAGCCCUUGUUGAUACUACCUGUCUAGACCGAGGACUGCGUCUUUGACUAGGAUGCUGGCAUAAUGAUCUUAAGUCGCCCGUCUUG
This 576-nucleotide ribosomal RNA is filed under the name Schwanniomyces pseudopolymorphus. Its description in RNAcentral is "eukaryotic LSU rRNA". It matches the Rfam family "Eukaryotic large subunit ribosomal RNA", at positions 62 to 656 of the family's 3401-position model. Lineage: Eukaryota; Fungi; Ascomycota; Pichiomycetes; Serinales; Debaryomycetaceae. The record is from RNAcentral.